RNAcentral lists this long non-coding RNA (331 nucleotides) under Ananas comosus (pineapple). Its description in RNAcentral is "long non-coding RNA (ACOM_LNC022897)". Lineage: Eukaryota; Viridiplantae; Streptophyta; Magnoliopsida; Poales; Bromeliaceae. The record is from RNAcentral.
UUACCAUUGCGAUAAUGAUAACUUCUUUUAACUUCAUAAUAUUAUUAUCGACUGUCUCUGGCGCAAGUGGUAAAUGGCUUGAUAAUUGGUAUCCCAAGUUUCAAAUUCGAAUCCUAAUUAAUUCAUAUUUUCAGCUAAGUAGCAUGCUAUCUAUCUCUAAAAAAAAACUUCAUGAUAUUGUUUUUCAAAGAAACAACUAUCGCAAAAGCUAUGUCAAAUAGGCACUUCAGUAAACAUUUUGAUCAAAUAGCAACAAAUAAGAUUUUGAAAACUUGAAAUAAGAUUUUACCCGAAAAGUAAUAGUUCUAAUUUAAAACUUCCAUCUUUAAUU